UGGGGAAUAUUGCACAAUGGGGGAAACCCUGAUGCAGCGACGCCGCGUGAGCGAAGAAGGUUUUCGAAUCGUAAAGCUCUGUCCUAUGGGAAGAUAAUGACGGUACCAUAGGAGGAAGCCCCGGCUAACUACGUGCCAGCAGCCGCGGUAAUACGUAGGGGGCAAGCGUUGUCCGGAAUCACUGGGCGUAAAGGGUUCGCAGGCGGAAAUGCAAGUCAGUUGUGAAAGGCAGAGGCUCAACCUCUGUAAGCAAUUGAAACUGUAUUUCUUGAGAUGUGGAGAGGCAAGUGGAAUUCCUAGUGUAGCGGUGAAAUGCGUAGAUAUUAGGAAGAAUACCGGUGGCGAAGGCGACUUGCUGGACACAAACUGACGCUGAGGAACGAUAGCGUGGGUAGCAAACAGG
Molecule: ribosomal RNA, 403 nt
Filed under: Fusobacteriota bacterium
Lineage: Bacteria; Fusobacteriati; Fusobacteriota
Description: Fusobacteria bacterium partial 16S ribosomal RNA
Rfam family: Bacterial small subunit ribosomal RNA
Source: RNAcentral